This 301-nucleotide ribosomal RNA is filed under the name uncultured bacterium. Its description in RNAcentral is "partial 16S ribosomal RNA". It matches the Rfam family "Bacterial small subunit ribosomal RNA", at positions 509 to 807 of the family's 1533-position model. The record is from RNAcentral.
CAGUAGCCGCGGUAAUACAGAGGGUGCAAGCGUUAUCCGGAUUUAUUGGGUUUAAAGGGUCCGUAGGCGGAUCUGUAAGUCAGUGGUGAAAUCUCACAGCUUAACUGUGAAACUGCCAUUGAUACUGCAGGUCUUGAGUAAAUUUGAAGUGGCUGGAAUAAGUAGUGUAGCGGUGAAAUGCAUAGAUAUUACUUAGAACACCAAUUGCGAAGGCAGGUCACUAAGAUUUAACUGACGCUGAUGGACGAAAGCGUGGGGAGCGAACAGGAUUAGAUACCCCAGUAGUCCCUGUCUCUUAUAC